GAUGAACGCUAGCUACAGGCUUAACACAUGCAAGUCGAACGGGAGAUCAUUUUAAUGAGGCUUCGGCGGAUUUGAUCUGAUCUUAGUGGCGGACGGGUGAGUAACGCGUGGGUAACCUGCCUUAUACAGGGGGAUAACAGCCGGAAACGGCCUGCUAAUACCGCAUAAGCGCACAGGAAGGCGCAUGCUUCAGUGUGAAAACUCCGGUGGUAUAAGAUGGACCCGCGUUGGAUUAGCUAGUUGGCAGGGCAGGCGGCCUACCAAGGCCGACGAUCCAUAG
Molecule: ribosomal RNA, 280 nt
Filed under: uncultured bacterium
Lineage: Bacteria
Description: partial 16S ribosomal RNA
Rfam family: Bacterial small subunit ribosomal RNA
Source: RNAcentral